GAUGAACGCUAGCGGCAGGCUUAACACAUGCAAGUCGAGGGGCAUCACGGGUAGCAAUACCUGGUGGCGACCGGCGCAAGGGUGCGUAACGCGUGAGCAACAUGCCCUAUACAGGGGGAUAAUCCAGGGAAACUUGGUCUAAUAUCCCAUAGCAUUUAGAGGUGGCAUCACCAUUAAAUUAAAGCUUCGGUGGUAUAGGAUUGGCUCGCGUGACAUUAGCUAGAUGGUGGGGUAACGGCUCACCAUGGCUAUGAUGUCUAGGGGUUCUGAGAGGAAGGCCCCCCACACUGGGACUGAGACACGGCCCAGACUCCUACGGGAGGCAGCAGUGAGGAAUAUUGGACAAUGGAUGGAAAUCUGAUCCAGCCAUGCCGCGUGCAGGAAGACAGCCCUAUGGGUUGUAAACUGCUUUUAUAUGGGAGCAAUAAGGUCUACGUGUAGACUGAUGAGAGUACCAUAUGAAUAAG
RNAcentral lists this ribosomal RNA (467 nucleotides) under uncultured bacterium. Its description in RNAcentral is "bacterial SSU rRNA". It matches the Rfam family "Bacterial small subunit ribosomal RNA", at positions 28 to 490 of the family's 1533-position model. The record is from RNAcentral.